This 22-nucleotide microRNA is filed under the name Shrimp white spot syndrome virus. RNAcentral describes it as "wssv-mir12". Lineage: Naldaviricetes; Nimaviridae. The record is from RNAcentral.
UCGUAUAGAGCACAGCCAACCG